GGCGGCGCAGCUACACAUGCAGUCGAGCGAGAUCUUCGGAUCUAGCGGCGGACGGGUGAGUAACGCGUGGGAACGUACCCUCUUCUGCGGGAUAGCCACUGGAAACGGUGAGUAAUACCGCAUACGCCCUUCGGGGGAAAGAUUUAUCGGAGGAGGAUCGGCCCGCGUUGGAUUAGGUAGUUGGUGGGGUAAUGGCCUACCAAGCCUACGAUCCAUAGCUGGUUUUAGAGGAUGAUCAGCCACACUGGGACUGAGACACGGCCCAGACUCCUACGGGAGGCAGCAGUGGGGAAUCUUAGACAAUGGGCGCAAGCCUGAUCUAGCCAUGCCGCGUGAGUGACGAAGGCCUUAGGGUCGUAAAGCUCUUUCGCCUGUGAUGAUAAUGACAGUAGCAGGUAAAGAAACCCCGGCUAACUCCGUGCCAGCAGCCGCGGUAAUACGGAGGGGGUUAGCGUUGUUCGGAAUUACUGGGCGUAAAGCGCACGUAGGCGGAUUGGAAAGUAUGGGGUGAAAUCCCAGGGCUCAACCCUGGAACGGCCUCAUAAACUUCCAGUCUGGAGUUCGAGAGAGGUGAGUGGAAUUCCGAGUGUAGAGGUGAAAUUCGUAGAUAUUCGGAGGAACACCAGUGGCGAAGGCGGCUCACUGGCUCGAUACUGACGCUGAGGUGCGAAAGUGUGGGGAGCAAACAGGAUUAGAUACCCUGGUAGUCC
RNAcentral lists this ribosomal RNA (710 nucleotides) under Roseovarius sp. RNAcentral describes it as "bacterial SSU rRNA". It matches the Rfam family "Bacterial small subunit ribosomal RNA", at positions 38 to 796 of the family's 1533-position model. The record is from RNAcentral. Lineage: Bacteria; Pseudomonadati; Pseudomonadota; Alphaproteobacteria; Rhodobacterales; Roseobacteraceae.